Molecule: ribosomal RNA, 429 nt
Filed under: Chloroflexota bacterium
Lineage: Bacteria; Bacillati; Chloroflexota
Description: Chloroflexi bacterium partial 16S ribosomal RNA
Rfam family: Bacterial small subunit ribosomal RNA
Source: RNAcentral
UAGGGAAUCUUCGGCAAUGGACGAAAGUCUGACCGAGCAACGCCGCGUGAGUGAAGAAGGUUUUCGGCUCGUAAAACUCUGUUGUUAGAGAAGAACAAGGACGUUAGUAACUGAACGUCCCCUGACGGUAUCUAACCAGAAAGCCACGGCUAACUACGUGCCAGCAGCCGCGGUAAUACGUAGGUGGCAAGCGUUGUCCGGAUUUAUUGGGCGUAAAGCGAGCGCAGGCGGUUUCUUAAGUCUGAUGUGAAAGCCCCCGGCUCAACCGGGGAGGGUUAUUGGAAACUGGGAGACUUGAGUGCAGAAGAGGAGGGUGGAAUUCCAUGUGGAGCGGUGAAAUGCGUAGAUAUAUGGAGGAACACCAGUGGCGAAGGCGGCUCUCUGGUCUGUAACUGACGCUGAGGCUCGAAAGCGUGGGGAGCAAACAGG